Non-coding RNA from Mycena alexandri, 91 nucleotides. The record is from the annotation of a GenBank genome assembly. Lineage: Eukaryota; Fungi; Basidiomycota; Agaricomycetes; Agaricales; Mycenaceae.
UCAGACAUCGUGCAACGGUAGCACUACAGCCCCAGCUACUAUGAGCAUAAGACGUAUGAGGUAGCUGAGGGUUCGACUCCCUCUGUCUGAA